Molecule: long non-coding RNA, 644 nt
Organism: Anolis carolinensis (green anole)
Lineage: Eukaryota; Metazoa; Chordata; Lepidosauria; Squamata; Anolidae
Exons: 2
Source: RefSeq, a predicted model, not a curated record
CCUGAGAUGUCAGAGCCAAAGUGUGAGGCUUUAUGAUGACACGUGACAAUCCUUGCUGAUGUCAUGAGGUGGGCCCUUGUGAUGUCACAAAGAACUCAGCUGAACGUGGAAACAGGCAUGAGGGCAAUGAGUCCAGAAUUGUACGUUGUGCUGACCAGAUAAGAAGAACUAGGAGGAAGGAGAAUAAAGCAUUUUAAUAACCAAGCAAAUGAGAGAGUGCACACACUAGCUGCAGCUAUUGCUACUAUUCCUGCUAGAGCUCACAUCUCAGGUGGUACAUGGGAUUUAUGGUUGCACCUACUGUGCUCCAGAGACAGGAGAGUACUGCACCCAAGUCUGACUAUAUCAUCUCAUUGGACAUAUGGACAUUUUGGGAUUGCACCUAUGUGUCAACUUUAACAUCCAAUUUGUUAAAUAUAUUGGGAUUUAAAUUGCCAUGCCUAAAUUUACAUCUAGAUCUGGCCACAUCUACACAGGUAGAUCUUGGCAAGGCCACUGAGCCCUGCAAACAGAAGUUUUUAGCUUUGGACAAGAUCAGAAAACAUGGGAAGAAAUUGAUCAAGAAUUUAGUUAGCUUCCACUACUAGCAUAAAAGACUUUUCAUCGUUUCAUUGUUUUAAAUAAAACUUCGUGUAUUAAUAUUU